GCCACCUGGAUUGCAGUUGUUGGAAAUGAUGGCUUUAUUUCCUUCCUCAACCUUGAUGAUGGAGGUAGUGCUUCUCCGACGAAAAUACCAAGCGAUCCUUGCAGCAGGCCAGAACCUUGUGGUGCAUAUUAUGUUUGUUCUGGUAACAACGUAUGCCAGUGCCCUUCAGCUCUUAGUUCCAGCCCAAAUUGUAAAACAGGUAUUGUCUCUUCCUGUGGCAGCUCAAAGGGCUCUCCAGAGCUUGUAAGUGCUGGCAGUGGGCUUAAUUAUUUUGCACUUGGGUUUGUUCCACCCUCUUCAAAAACUAGUUUGGAAGGCUGCAAAUCCUCUUGCCGUGAUAACUGCU
RNAcentral lists this unclassified non-coding RNA (346 nucleotides) under Hevea brasiliensis (rubber tree). Lineage: Eukaryota; Viridiplantae; Streptophyta; Magnoliopsida; Malpighiales; Euphorbiaceae. The record is from RNAcentral.